UACAGAGGGUGCGAGCGUUAAUCGGAGUUACUGGGCGUAAAGGGCGCGUAGGCGGUUUGUUAAGUGAGAUGUGAAAUCCCCGGGCUUAACCUGGGAACUGCAUUCGAUACUGGACGGCUAGAGUAUGAGAGAGGGAGGUAGAAUUCCACGUGUAGCGGUGAAAUGCGUAGAUAUGUGGAGGAAUACCGGUGGCGAAGGCGGCCUCCUGGUUCAAUACUGACGCUGAGGUGCGAAAGCGUGGGGAGCAAACAGG
This 253-nucleotide ribosomal RNA is filed under the name uncultured bacterium. RNAcentral describes it as "partial 16S ribosomal RNA". It matches the Rfam family "Bacterial small subunit ribosomal RNA", at positions 524 to 776 of the family's 1533-position model. The record is from RNAcentral.